CCAGCACCUGCGGUAAUUCCCGCUCCAAUAGCGUAUAUUAAAGUUGUUGCAGUUAAAAAGCUCGUAGUUGGAUUUCUGGUUUGAGCGUCCGGUCCGCUCCUUUGGAGUGUGUACUAAGGAUGCUUGAGCCAUUUUUUGUGAGGACGUUCUUCUGCCAUUAAGUUGGUGGUUGGAUGGACUUGCAUCGUUUACUGUGAAAAAAUUAGAGUGUUUAAAGCAGGCGUUUGCUCAUUGAAUACAUUAGCAUGGAAUAAUAAGAUACGACCUUGGUGGUCUAUUUUGUUGGUUUGCACACCAGGGUAAUGAUUAAUAGGGACAGUUGGGGGUAUUCAUAUUUCAACGUCAGAGGUGAAAUUCUUGGAUCGUUGAAAGAUGAGCUUAGGCGAAAGCAUUUACCAAGGAUGUUUUCA
This 410-nucleotide ribosomal RNA is filed under the name uncultured eukaryote. RNAcentral describes it as "SSU rRNA". It matches the Rfam family "Eukaryotic small subunit ribosomal RNA", at positions 567 to 972 of the family's 1831-position model. The record is from RNAcentral.